AGGGCGCAGGCGGUGCGCCGCUGGACUGGCUGCAGGACCCGCGGCUCUCGGCGCGGGUGUGUGGGGCUGCGCUCACCCCACGAUGCUCAAGCGCUGCGGCCGACGCCUGCUGCUGGCUCUGGCGGGCGCGCUGCUCGCCUGCCUGCUGGUGCUCACGGCCGACCCGCCGCCGCCCCCGGUGCCCGCCGAGCGCGGCCGGCGCGCGCUGCGCAGCCUGGCGGGCCCCGGGGGGGUGGCCCCGGUGCCAGGGCUGGAGGCGGCGCCGGCGCCCGGCGCGCUCACACGCGAGGUGCACAGUCUGUCUGAGUACUUCAGCCUGCUUACCCGCGCGCGCCGAGACGCCGGCCGACCGCCCGGGGGCGCCUCCCGUCCCGCCGACGGCCGCCUGCGGCCCCAAGCGGAGCCGCUCGCGCCCCACGACGUCUUCAUCGCGGUGAAGACCACCAAAAAGUUCCACCGCGCGCGCCUCGACCUGCUGCUGGAGACCUGGAUCUCGCGCCACAAGGAGAUGACGUUCGUUUUCACCGACGGGGAAGACGAGGCCCUGGCCCGGCGCACGGGCAACGUGGUCAACACGAACUGCUCGGCCGCCCACAGCCGCCAGGCCCUGUCCUGCAAGAUGGCAGUGGAGUACGACCACUUCAUCGAGUCAGGGAGGAAGUGGUUCUGCCACGUGGACGACGACAACUACGUCAACGUGCGGGCCCUGCUGCGCCUACUGGCCAGCUACCCCCACACGCAGGACGUGUACAUCGGCAAGCCCAGCCUGGACAGGCCCAUCCAGGCCACGGAGAGGGUCAGCGAGAACAAGAUGCGUCCCGUCCACUUCUGGUUCGCCACGGGCGGAGCCGGCUUCUGCAUCAGCCGCGCGCUGGCCCUGAGGAUGAGCCCCUGGGCCAGCCCUUCGCUCCCGCAGCGGGGGCCGCUUCUCGAGCACGGCCGAGCGGAUCCGGCUGCCGGACGACUGCACGGUGGGCUACAUCGUGGAGGCGCUGCUGGGCGUGCCCCUCGUCCGCAGCGGCCUGUUCCACUCCCACCUGGAGAACCUGCAGCAGGUGCCGGCCUCGGAGCUCCACGAGCAGGUGACCCUGAGCUACGGCAUGUUUGAGAACAAGCGGAACGCGGUCCACAUGAAGGGGCCCUUCUCGGUGGAGGCCGACCCGUCCAGGUUCCGCUCCAUCCACUGCCACCUGUACCCGGACACGCCCUGGUGUCCCCGCGCCGCCGUCUUCUAGCUGCCUCCGCCGAGACCCCGUCCCCAGGCGCCCCUGGUAUCCAAAGGGCCCGGGGACCCCCAUUGUUGUGCCCCCCGGUCCCGCUGUUUGCGGCUCCCGGGGCCGUGCCUCCGUCUGCCCGUGUGCUGGGUACCCUGUCUGCGUCGCAGACCGCUGGCCACCCCGCUCUGCCCCCGAGCGGGCCCUGGGCGGGCUCACGUGAGAGGCUGCUGCUCUGAGGGCAGCGUGACGUUGCUCUUGUGGGGUCUCCGGGCUGCCCUGCCCCCCUGUGCUGGGCCGGCACUCGCCUCUGAGCCCCCGGGACAGCUGAGUCCUGCAAGAGGCUGGGUUUGGGGGGCGGCGGCCCAGUCUCCUCCCGUUCCCGCUGAGCUCUGGCCUGGGCACCGUGGCUCAGGGUGACAGCGGCCCCCAUCCAGCCCGGUAGCCCCACGGAGCCCCCCGGGCCCCACCAGUGGCUGUGCGGCCCGGCCCGGGGUCCGGUGGCUUCCCCAGCCCUCUGGGCGGGGGUCUUCCCAACCCGCUCUCUUCUUUGUCUCCCCGCGAGGGGAGCCAGAGCCGAGCACGCUCUCUCCUCCCCAGAGCAGAGAGAGAGUCGCCCACAGUGGGCGUGCCUGUACAUACCGUGACAGUAUUUUUUACUGUGCUUGUUUUUCAAAAGCGGGUGAGUGAAAAGGUGUUUUCGUCUCUGUUUUCGGGGCGCGGGGGAGGGUGUUGUCUCUUUUCUGUGGACCAGAAGAAGCAGAAGUCACACUUGGGAUCGCCUCUGUGGCUGCAGCCGAGACGUCCACGCCCCGUAUGUGUGUGUGUGUGUGUGUGUGUGUGUGUGUCCCGGCACCCACUCUCCCCGGCGACCUGCCUCCCGCCGCCCGCUGGGCGCACCUGGCCCGGGCGUGUGUUCUGUCUCCUGUUGAUCCUUCUGCGAAGACAAAGCGAGGAAAGCGGACAAUAAGGGAAAAGUUCUCAGGGAAUCCUAGUGUGGUUGCUACGGUGACGUCCUUUGCUGUGAAUAAAGGUGCUCUUCGGGCCAUGUU
RNA transcript from Phyllostomus hastatus (greater spear-nosed bat), 2266 nucleotides. It is a transcript of the gene named LFNG O-fucosylpeptide 3-beta-N-acetylglucosaminyltransferase, with no coding region annotated. The record is from RefSeq and is a predicted model, not a curated record. The transcript is spliced from 8 exons. Lineage: Eukaryota; Metazoa; Chordata; Mammalia; Chiroptera; Phyllostomidae.